UUUAUUUGAGAGUUUGAUCCUGGCUCAGGACGAACGCUGGCGGCGUGCCUAAUACAUGCAAGUUGAGCGCUGAAGGUUGGUACUUGUACCGACUGGAUGAGCAGCGAACGGGUGAGUAACGCGUGGGGAAUCU
This 133-nucleotide ribosomal RNA is filed under the name Lactococcus lactis subsp. lactis bv. diacetylactis str. TIFN2. Its description in RNAcentral is "partial 16S ribosomal RNA". It matches the Rfam family "Bacterial small subunit ribosomal RNA", at positions 1 to 127 of the family's 1533-position model. The record is from RNAcentral. Lineage: Bacteria; Bacillati; Bacillota; Bacilli; Lactobacillales; Streptococcaceae.